This is a long non-coding RNA of Callorhinchus milii (elephant shark), 406 nucleotides long. RefSeq lists it as uncharacterized. The transcript has 3 exons. The record is from RefSeq and is a predicted model, not a curated record. Lineage: Eukaryota; Metazoa; Chordata; Chondrichthyes; Chimaeriformes; Callorhinchidae.
CACACAGAAAAUGUGCAACAAUGAAUAUCUUAUGCUCUGCAAUCUCUCCCAACAUUCAGUCCUAGACAAGUACAUUGUACGUACUCUUCUCAAUCCCUUGCCAAGAGGGAAGGAAUGCAAACUGCUGUUAAUCCUUUGGCAAUAGCAUCAUUUUAUCAGCCACAAGACAUCAAAUGAUUGGAUGGCCAGAGACGUAAGAGCUCCAUGCAACACAAGCCUCCAACUAGUGUGGGUGUUAUCAUCAUUGACAUCAAGCAUGAGCAGUUGAAAGGCUCAGUAAACAGAAUUGUUACAACAUCCUACAGAUAUCCAUCAUUUUCACAAACGGCUGAAGAGAGGGCUGUAUCAGGAGUGGAAUCAUAUUUAUUAAUGCUUUGAAUUCUGUCUUUAAAACUAGAUUUGGAUC